This 1130-nucleotide ribosomal RNA is filed under the name Janibacter sp. Its description in RNAcentral is "bacterial SSU rRNA". It matches the Rfam family "Bacterial small subunit ribosomal RNA", at positions 173 to 1319 of the family's 1533-position model. Lineage: Bacteria; Bacillati; Actinomycetota; Actinomycetes; Micrococcales; Intrasporangiaceae. The record is from RNAcentral.
ACGAGAAGGGCCCGCAUGGGCACUUUCUGGAAAGUUUUUCGGUUGGGGAUGGGCUCGCGGCCUAUCAGCUUGUUGGUGAGGUAAUGGCUCACCAAGGCGACGACGGGUAGCCGGCCUGAGAGGGCGACCGGCCACACUGGGACUGAGACACGGCCCAGACUCCUACGGGAGGCAGCAGUGGGGAAUAUUGCACAAUGGGCGAAAGCCUGAUGCAGCGACGCCGCGUGAGGGAUGACGGCCUUCGGGUUGUAAACCUCUUUCAGCAGGGAAGAAGCGAAAGUGACGGUACCUGCAGAAGAAGCACCGGCUAACUACGUGCCAGCAGCCGCGGUAAUACGUAGGGUGCGAGCGUUGUCCGGAAUUAUUGGGCGUAAAGAGCUUGUAGGCGGUUUGUCGCGUCUGCUGUGAAAAUCCGGGGCUCAACCCCGGACUUGCAGUGGGUACGGGCAGACUAGAGUGUGGUAGGGGAGACUGGAAUUCCUGGUGUAGCGGUGAAAUGCGCAGAUAUCAGGAGGAACACCGAUGGCGAAGGCAGGUCUCUGGGCCACUACUGACGCUGAGAAGCGAAAGCAUGGGGAGCGAACAGGAUUAGAUACCCUGGUAGUCCAUGCCGUAAACGUUGGGCGCUAGGUGUGGGACUCAUUCCACGAGUUCCGUGCCGCAGCUAACGCAUUAAGCGCCCCGCCUGGGGAGUACGGCCGCAAGGCUAAAACUCAAAGGAAUUGACGGGGGCCCGCACAAGCGGCGGAGCAUGCGGAUUAAUUCGAUGCAACGCGAAGAACCUUACCAAGGCUUGACAUAUACCGGAAACUUCCAGAGAUGGUUGCCCCCUUUGGGUCGGUAUACAGGUGGUGCAUGGUUGUCGUCAGCUCGUGUCGUGAGAUGUUGGGUUAAGUCCCGCAACGAGCGCAACCCUCGUUCUAUGUUGCCAGCACGUUAUGGUGGGGACUCAUGGAAGACUGCCGGGGUCAACUCGGAGGAAGGUGGGGAUGACGUCAAAUCAUCAUGCCCCUUAUGUCUUGGGCUUCACGCAUGCUACAAUGGCCGGUACAAAGGGCUGCGAUGCCGUAAGGUGGAGCGAAUCCCAAAAAACCGGUCUCAGUUCGGAUUGGGGUCUGCAACUCGACCCC